This 116-nucleotide ribosomal RNA is filed under the name uncultured bacterium. Its description in RNAcentral is "partial 16S ribosomal RNA". It matches the Rfam family "Bacterial small subunit ribosomal RNA", at positions 1367 to 1482 of the family's 1533-position model. The record is from RNAcentral.
UACGUUCCCGGGUCUUGUACACACCGCCCGUCACACCAUGGGAGCGGGUUCCGCCAGAAGUAGGUAGCCUAACCGCAAGGGGGGCGCUUACCACGGCGGGGUUCGUGACUGGGGUG